RNAcentral lists this ribosomal RNA (465 nucleotides) under uncultured bacterium. RNAcentral describes it as "partial 16S ribosomal RNA". It matches the Rfam family "Bacterial small subunit ribosomal RNA", at positions 339 to 795 of the family's 1533-position model. The record is from RNAcentral.
CUACGGGAGGCAGCAGUGGGGAAUAUUGGACAAUGGGGGAAACCCUGAUCCAGCAAUGCCGCGUGUGUGAAGAAGGCCUGCGGGUUGUAAAGCACUUUCGGUUGGGAGGACUGCUUCUAGCACUAAUAUUGUUGGAAGUUGACGUUACCUCCAGAAGAAGCACCGGCUAACUCCGUGCCAGCAGCCGCGGUAAUACGGAGGGUGCAAGCGUCAAUCGGAAUUACUGGGCGUAAAGCGCGCGUAGGCGGCUAGAUCAGUCGGGUGUGAAAGCCCCGGGCUUAACCUGGGAACUGCAUCCGAUACUGUCUAGCUUGAGUACAGGAGAGGAGAGUGGAAUUCCACAUGUAGCGGUGAAAUGCGUAGAUAUGUGGAGGAACACCAAUGGCGAAGGCAGCUCUCUGGCCUGAUACUGACGCUGAGGUGCGAAAGCGUGGGGAGCAAACAGGAUUAGAUACCCCUGUAGUC